GGCAGGCUCUCCAGAGGUGAGAUUCUGGGACUCUGAGUCUGGAAAAAACAUUACUGGAAACUAGGAUCAGGGAAGAAGCUGUCCCCUCUCGUCAUCCUCAGCCUUCAUUCAUGCUGCCACUGUAGAGCAGUCAUAUAGACUCUGAGCAUGACAUCCUCAGUGUUAGACAGAGCUUGUCUGGGGUCACAGCAUGGUGAGAAAAUGAGCCAGAACUGGAUAGAGAGGCGCUGGAGAGGACAGAGGGAGAGAUGUUGGUUAACACUCAGUAAGGAGGCUGCCCAAUCCAUACUUGAGCAUGCGAAGCCUGGCAUCA
Molecule: long non-coding RNA, 313 nt
Filed under: Homo sapiens (human)
Lineage: Eukaryota; Metazoa; Chordata; Mammalia; Primates; Hominidae
Description: non-protein coding lnc-RABL2A-3:1
Source: RNAcentral